GGGUGAAAGCAGGGGACCGCAAGGCCUUGCGUCGAUGGAGCGGCCGAUGCCGGAUUAGCUAGUUGGUGAGGUAAAGGCUCACCAAGGCGACGAUCCGUAGCUGGUCUGAGAGGACGACCCAGCCACACUGGGACUGAGACACGGCCCAGACUCCUACGGGAGGCAGCAGUGGGGAAUCUUGGACAAUGGGCGAAAGCCUGAUCCAGCAAUGCCGCGUGUGGGAAGAAGGCCCUCGGGUUGUAAACCACUUUUGGCGGGAAAGAAAUGGUCUGUGCUAAUACCACGGAUUGAUGACGGUACCCGCAGAAUAAGCACCGGCUAACUACGUG
RNAcentral lists this ribosomal RNA (329 nucleotides) under uncultured bacterium. RNAcentral describes it as "bacterial SSU rRNA". It matches the Rfam family "Bacterial small subunit ribosomal RNA", at positions 198 to 507 of the family's 1533-position model. The record is from RNAcentral.